GGGGCUUACACAUGCAAGUCGAGCGCACUCUUCGGAGUGAGCGGCGGACGGGUUAGUAACGCGUGGGAACGUGCCCUUCUCUAAGGAAUAGCCACUGGAAACGGUGAGUAAUACCUUAUACGCCCUUCGGGGGAAAGAUUUAUCGGAGAAGGAUCGGCCCGCGUUAGAUUAGAUAGUUGGUGGGGUAAUGGCCUACCAAGUCUACGAUCUAUAGCUGGUUUUAGAGGAUGAUCAGCAACACUGGGACUGAGACACGGCCCAGACUCCUACGGGAGGCAGCAGUGGGGAAUCUUGGACAAUGGGCGCAAGCCUGAUCCAGCCAUGCCGCGUGAGUGAUGAAGGCCUUAGGGUCGUAAAGCUCUUUCGCCAGAGAUGAUAAUGACAGUAUCUGGUAAAGAAACCCCGGCUAACUCCGUGCCAGCAGCCGCGGUAAUACGGAGGGGGUUAGCGUUGUUCGGAAUUACUGGGCGUAAAGCGCACGUAGGCGGAUCAGAAAGUAUAGGGUGAAAUCCCAGGGCUCAACCCUGGAACUGCCUUGUAAACUCCUGGUCUUGAGUUCGAGAGAGGUGAGUGGAAUUCCGAGUGUAGAGGUGAAAUUCGUAGAUAUUCGGAGGAACACCAGUGGCGAAGGCGGCUCACUGGCUCGAUACUGACGCUGAGGUGCGAAAGUGUGGGGAGCAAACAGGAUUAGAUACCCUGGUAGUC
RNAcentral lists this ribosomal RNA (705 nucleotides) under Phaeobacter sp. RNAcentral describes it as "bacterial SSU rRNA". It matches the Rfam family "Bacterial small subunit ribosomal RNA", at positions 44 to 795 of the family's 1533-position model. Lineage: Bacteria; Pseudomonadati; Pseudomonadota; Alphaproteobacteria; Rhodobacterales; Roseobacteraceae. The record is from RNAcentral.